UACGAAGGGGGCUAGCGUUGCUCGGAAUCACUGGGCGUAAAGCGUACGUAGGCGGCUUUCUAAGUCAGGGGUGAAAUCCUGGAGCUCAACUCCAGAACUGCCUUUGAUACUGGAGAGCUUGAGUCCGGAAGAGGUGAGUGGAACUCCGAGUGUAGAGGUGAAAUUCGUAGAUAUUCGGAAGAACACCAGUGGCGAAGGCGGCUCACUGGUCCGGUACUGACGCUGAUGUGCGAAAGCGUGGGGAGCAAACAGG
RNAcentral lists this ribosomal RNA (253 nucleotides) under uncultured bacterium. RNAcentral's name for it is "partial 16S ribosomal RNA". It matches the Rfam family "Bacterial small subunit ribosomal RNA", at positions 524 to 776 of the family's 1533-position model. The record is from RNAcentral.